UACGUAGGGUGCAAGCGUUGUCCGGAAUUAUUGGGCGUAAAGAGCUCGUAGGCGGUCUGUCACGUCGGCUGUGAAAACCCGGGGCUCAACCCCGGGCCUGCAGUCGAUACGGGCAGACUAGAGUGCGGUAGGGGAGACUGGAAUUCCUGGUGUAGCGGUGAAAUGCGCAGAUAUCAGGAGGAACACCGGUGGCGAAGGCGGGUCUCUGGACAUUUCCUGACGCUGAGGCACGAAAGCCAGGGGAGCAAACGGG
RNAcentral lists this ribosomal RNA (253 nucleotides) under uncultured bacterium. Its description in RNAcentral is "partial 16S ribosomal RNA". It matches the Rfam family "Bacterial small subunit ribosomal RNA", at positions 524 to 776 of the family's 1533-position model. The record is from RNAcentral.